This 24-nucleotide non-coding RNA is filed under the name Arabidopsis thaliana (thale cress). The record is from RNAcentral. Lineage: Eukaryota; Viridiplantae; Streptophyta; Magnoliopsida; Brassicales; Brassicaceae.
AUUUAAACUUUAUACUUUUGUUGC